AUGGAGUGAUGGUAAUGAAGGUAUGUUCUGGUAUCAGCAGAAACCAGGACAGCCUCCAAAGCUCCUUAUAAAAUAUGUUAAAAAUCUUGAAUCAAGAACUCAAGCUCGGUUUAGUGGCAGUGGAAGCGGCUCUGAUUUCUCUUUGACCAUCAGAGGAGUUCAGGCUGAAGAUGCUGCAGUUUAUUACUGUCAGAGUCAUCAUUACUUAAACGGUGCUGAUGUGUUCACACAGUGAUUCAG
Austrofundulus limnaeus is the source of this 240-nucleotide non-coding RNA. The record is from the annotation of a RefSeq genome assembly. NCBI's taxonomy places the organism in Eukaryota, Metazoa, Chordata, Actinopteri, Cyprinodontiformes, Rivulidae.